UGGGGAAUAUUGCACAAUGGGGGAAACCCUGAUGCAGCGACGCCGCGUGAACGAAGAAGGUAUUCGUAUCGUAAAGUUCUGUCCUAUGGGAAGAUAAUGACAGUACCAUAGAAGAAAGCUCCGGCUAAAUACGUGCCAGCAGCCGCGGUAAUACGUAGGGAGCGAGCGUUGUCCGGAAUUAUUGGGCGUAAAGGGUACGCAGGCGGUUUAAUAAGUCGAAUGUUAAAGAUCGGGGCUCAACCCCGCAAAGCAUUGGAAACUGAUAAACUUGAGUAGUGGAGAGGAAAGUGGAAUUCCUAGUGUAGUGGUGAAAUGCGUAGAUAUUAGGAGGAAUACCAGUAGCGAAGGCGACUUGCUGGACAGGAACUGAAGCUGAGGUACGAAAGCGUGGGGAGCAAACAGG
RNAcentral lists this ribosomal RNA (403 nucleotides) under bacterium. RNAcentral describes it as "partial 16S ribosomal RNA". It matches the Rfam family "Bacterial small subunit ribosomal RNA", at positions 355 to 776 of the family's 1533-position model. The record is from RNAcentral.